Molecule: unclassified non-coding RNA, 197 nt
Filed under: uncultured Boletus
Lineage: Eukaryota; Fungi; Basidiomycota; Agaricomycetes; Boletales; Boletaceae
Description: sequence contains ITS1
Source: RNAcentral
UCGAAUCUAACAUGAAAGAGGUAGAGAGACUGUGCUGGCCGAUCGCCGAUCGCUGAUCGGCAUGUGCACGUCCCCUCGCCUUUUUCUGUCUACAUACACCUGUGCACCUAUUGUAGAUCCCCUCGAAAGAGAGGGAACUAUGUUUUCAUCACAUCACACGCAAAGAAUGUCUAGAAUGUACAAAUAACAAAUAUAUA